This 253-nucleotide ribosomal RNA is filed under the name uncultured bacterium. Its description in RNAcentral is "partial 16S ribosomal RNA". It matches the Rfam family "Bacterial small subunit ribosomal RNA", at positions 524 to 776 of the family's 1533-position model. The record is from RNAcentral.
UACGUAGGGGGCAAGCGUUGUCCGGAAUCAUUGGGCGUAAAGAGCGUGUAGGCGGCCAGAAAAGUCCGCUGUGAAAACUCGAGGCUCAACUUCGAGCUGUCGGUGGAAACUUUCUGGCUAGAGUCCGGAAGAGGAGAAUGGAAUUCCUGGUGUAGCGGUGAAAUGCGCAGAUAUCAGGAAGAACACCGGUGGCGAAGGCGGGUCUCUGGGCCGAUACUGACGCUGAGGAGUGAAAGCGUGGGGAGCGAACAGG